CUAAGAAUAUUCAUUAAAAACAUAAAUAACUAAACACAGUAAUUCAAAACAUAUAAGCAAACAAGAACUGCAUCUUUUGUUCAUCAAGGCUGAGCAAGAAAUAGACCCACUGUACAGAAGAGAACUGAAAGAUGGUGAGUUUGGUUUGCUGGUACAUUGUUUGGGAUAUUCAGAGGAAGACGGUAGAAUAGGAGGUCCCAGACUGCUCUCCCCUGACAUGGAAAGCUGAACUACAACUAUCCACUGAUGAGAACACCUUGGUGAAAAUCUCAAAACUUGGGAAUAAGCUUGAGACACCUGAAUGGACCAUAGAACCUAAUAACAGCACUAGGCAGACUUGGAGUCUCUCUCUGUCACCCAGUCUGGAGUGCAGUGGCACAACUGUAGCACACAGCAGCCUCCAACUCCUGAGCUCAAGUGAUCCUCCUGCCUCAGCCUCCCAUGUUGCCAAGAUUACAGGUGUGAGCCACUGCACCUGGCAGAGGUAGAGGGAAUGUCAUAGAAAAAGGUCCUGCUGUGGGAGCUAAUCUAGUAACCUUCAGGAACAUCAAGGAAUGCAUGCAGCUGCAGGUCG
Molecule: non-coding RNA, 574 nt
Organism: Callithrix jacchus (white-tufted-ear marmoset)
Lineage: Eukaryota; Metazoa; Chordata; Mammalia; Primates; Cebidae
Source: RefSeq, a predicted model, not a curated record